RNAcentral lists this ribosomal RNA (501 nucleotides) under uncultured bacterium. Its description in RNAcentral is "bacterial SSU rRNA". It matches the Rfam family "Bacterial small subunit ribosomal RNA", at positions 28 to 521 of the family's 1533-position model. The record is from RNAcentral.
GACGAACGCUGGCGGCGUGGAUUAGGCAUGCAAGUCGAACGGUAUCAUCCUUUCGGGGGUGAGAGAGUGGCGAACUGGUGAGUAACACGUAGGUUAUCUACCCUCAAGACGGGGACAACCCAGGGAAACUUGGGCUAAUACCGGAUGUGAGCAACUUUUAGUUGUUUGAAAGGUGGCGUAAGCUGUCGCUUGGGGAUGAGCCUGCGUCCUAUUAGUUAGUUGGUGAGGUAACGGCUCACCUAGGCAAUGAUAGGUAGGCGGCCUUAACGGGUGGUCGCCCACACUGGGAUUGAGAUACGGCCCAGACUCCUACGGGAGGCAGCAGUCGAGAAUAGUCUACAAUGGUCGGAAGACUGAUAGUGCGACGCCGCGUGAACAAUGAAUCCCUUCGGGGUGUAAAGUUCUUUUAUAUGUGAGCAGUGCUUCUUAUAUUAACAGUAUGGGGAGAGAGAUAUUAGCAUAUGAAUAAGCAACGGCUAACUCCGUGCCAGCAGCCGCGGU